GUGAGGAAUAUUGGGCAAUGGAGGCAACUCUGACCCAGCCAUGCCGCGUGCAGGAUGACGGCCCUCUGGGUUGUAAACUGCUUUUAUACGGGAAGAAAAAAUACUACGUGUAGUAUACUGACGGUACCGUAAGAAUAAGGAUCGGCUAACUCCGUGCCAGCAGCCGCGGUAAUACGGAGGAUCCAAGCGUUGUCCGGAUUUAUUGGGUUUAAAGGGUGCGUAGGCGGAUCUUUAAGUCAGUGGUGAAAGCCUGCAGCUUAACUGUAGAAUUGCCAUUGAAACUGAAGAUCUUGAAUGUGGUUAAAGUAGGCGGAAUGUAUCAUGUAGCGGUGAAAUGCUUAGAUAUGAUACAGAACACCGAUAGCGAAGGCAGCUUGCUGAACCAUUAUUGACGCUGAGGCACGAAAGCGUGGGGAGCGAACAGGAUUAGAAACCCUGGUAGUCC
This 445-nucleotide ribosomal RNA is filed under the name uncultured bacterium. RNAcentral's name for it is "partial 16S ribosomal RNA". It matches the Rfam family "Bacterial small subunit ribosomal RNA", at positions 354 to 796 of the family's 1533-position model. The record is from RNAcentral.